AUCUUCUCGUCUAGUUCUCCGAGGUUGAAGGCUUGGCCUGCUCAGAGAAGGAAACUGAGGUCCACCGAGUUGGAGAAACCCACUCAACACCAGGACUAACUUCUUCAGUGCUUAGAGUGUGAGAAAAAUGGCAAAUAUGAAUAGUGAUUCUAGGCAUCUUGGCACCUCUGAGGUAGAUCAUGAAAGAGAUCCUGGACCUAUGAAUAUCCAGUUUGAGCCAUCGGAUCUAAGAUCCAAAAGGCCUUUCUGUAUAGAGCCUACAAACAUCGUGAAUGUGAAUCAUGUCAUUCAGAGGGUUAGUGACCAUGCCUCUGCCAUGAACAAGAGAAUUCAUUACUACAGCCGGCUCACCACUCCUGCAGACAAGGCACUGAUUGCCCCAGACCAUGUAGUUCCAGCUCCAGAAGAGUGCUAUGUGUAUAGUCCAUUGGGCUCUGCUUAUAAACUUCAAAGUUACACUGAAGGAUACGGUAAAAACACCAGUUUAGUAACCAUUUUUAUGAUUUGGAAUACCAUGAUGGGAACAUCUAUACUAAGCAUUCCUUGGGGCAUAAAACAGGCUGGAUUUACUACUGGAAUGUGUGUCAUCAUACUGAUGGGCCUUUUAACACUUUAUUGCUGCUACAGAGUAGUGAAAUCACGGACUAUGAUGUGUAAGAAUUUGACACAGUGACAAUAGAUUAUGGGUAUUAAUAAGCAUUUCCCUUUGAGGCAGAUCACUAGUGUGUAUAUGCCACAUGUGUGUCAGCUGUCUACUUUG
RNAcentral lists this small RNA (760 nucleotides) under Pan troglodytes (chimpanzee). Its description in RNAcentral is "retained intron". Lineage: Eukaryota; Metazoa; Chordata; Mammalia; Primates; Hominidae. The record is from RNAcentral.